UACGAAGGGUGCAAGCGUUACUCGGAAUUACUGGGCGUAAAGCGUGCGUAGGCGGUUUGUUAAGUCUGUCGUGAAAGCCCCGGGCUCAACCUGGGAAUGGCGAUGGAAACUGGCGAGCUAGAGUACGGUAGAGGAGAGUGGAAUUCCCGGUGUAGCAGUGAAAUGCGUAGAGAUCAGGAGGAACAUCAGUUGCGAAGGCGGCUCUCUGGACCAGUACUGACGCUGAGGCACGAAAGCGUGGGGAGCAAACAGG
RNAcentral lists this ribosomal RNA (253 nucleotides) under uncultured bacterium. Its description in RNAcentral is "partial 16S ribosomal RNA". It matches the Rfam family "Bacterial small subunit ribosomal RNA", at positions 524 to 776 of the family's 1533-position model. The record is from RNAcentral.